ACACCUUCCCCUCGGUCAACAGAAUUCCUUAUCCGGAUUUCUAGUUCGCAGACGGAAAAAUAAAAAUUGAAGAGUCAUUUCCUUUUUGAAUAGAGAUUCAAUAAGGUGACUUGGAACACCCAAACUCAAUUCCAAGUGGCGACUCUGUAAGUAAAGUAAUCCCUUUUCAAAACGUCACUUUAAUUGGAAAAACCUUUUUUUUUCUAAAACCAACUCCCUAGCGGGGUCGGAUGCGGUGAAAAACAGGGGUGUGACAGAUGGCGACUCUGCUGGGGAUACAACUAGAAUUCGAGCUUUUAUAUUGACUUAAUUGGCUUUAUUUAAUUUUGAUAUUGUAUAUUGUUGGCCCA
This 350-nucleotide long non-coding RNA is filed under the name Capsicum annuum. RNAcentral describes it as "long non-coding RNA (CANN_LNC019984)". Lineage: Eukaryota; Viridiplantae; Streptophyta; Magnoliopsida; Solanales; Solanaceae. The record is from RNAcentral.